RNAcentral lists this unclassified non-coding RNA (209 nucleotides) under Hevea brasiliensis (rubber tree). Lineage: Eukaryota; Viridiplantae; Streptophyta; Magnoliopsida; Malpighiales; Euphorbiaceae. The record is from RNAcentral.
AUAUCUUGGAGGAGAAACCUGGCAGAAUUUUGUUUGGAUGUUUAUUAGACUGCUGGUAAUAUAUACCCAUAAAAUGCAUAUCUUCCCGUCACUGAUACAAAACUCUAGAAAAUACAUUUUACGAAUUGUAAAAAAUUUCCCUCACCUUAGGAUAAUUAAUGGUUGAAUGAGAGUUGAAAGCUGGGUGGGGAUCCACCCAUUUCACUAGG